This 200-nucleotide ribosomal RNA is filed under the name uncultured bacterium. RNAcentral's name for it is "partial 16S ribosomal RNA". It matches the Rfam family "Bacterial small subunit ribosomal RNA", at positions 29 to 255 of the family's 1533-position model. The record is from RNAcentral.
AGCGAACGCUGGCGGCAGGCCUAACACAUGCAAGUCGAACGGACCUUUCGGGGUUAGUGGCGGACGGGUGAGUAACACGUGGGAACGUGCCUUUAGGUUCGGAAUAGCUCCUGGAAACGGGUGGUAAUGCCGAAUGUGCCCUUCGGGGGAAAGGAUUUAUCGCCUUUAGAGCGGCCCGCGUCUGAUUAGCUUGUUGGUGA